Mercenaria mercenaria is the source of this 278-nucleotide long non-coding RNA. RefSeq lists it as uncharacterized. Lineage: Eukaryota; Metazoa; Mollusca; Bivalvia; Venerida; Veneridae. The transcript has 3 exons. The record is from RefSeq and is a predicted model, not a curated record.
GUUAAUCUAUGAACCGCGCCAAGCAGAAAUAUGUCUUAACGUACAUUAUGACGAAAUCGAGAAACGACGUCACAAGUUGCAGGUGCGAUUUCAAAAUGGCGACGCCCAUGCUUUGACAUGUUUACAAUUUAAUAUUUGACAUGGAUACGUUUGAGGAUUUAGAAGAUUUACUUGAAGUGUUUGGAUUGGGAAGUAAAUCUAGUACAUCAAAUAGCCAAUGUACACAGGAACUUGCAGAAGCUGGAACUACAAAUGAUGAUGCUGAUGAUGAAAUGUCC